UGCACUGUAUGGUGUCAGUAGUCAAUACUUUAUUCCUGGUGACGUGUUCAAAAGAGAGUGUGACAGAUAUUCAGUAUCUCUUUACAGUAUCACUGGAUUUCUUGGCUUUGUGCAUGUUAAACCUGGCAUUUCUAUUGAUACAUUA
RNAcentral lists this small nucleolar RNA (145 nucleotides) under Chinchilla lanigera (long-tailed chinchilla). RNAcentral's name for it is "Small nucleolar RNA SNORA8 (ENSCLAG00000018309.1)". It matches the Rfam family "Small nucleolar RNA SNORA8". Rfam says of the family: ACA8 is a member of the H/ACA class of snoRNA that guide the sites of modification of uridines to pseudouridines. Lineage: Eukaryota; Metazoa; Chordata; Mammalia; Rodentia; Chinchillidae. The record is from Rfam by way of RNAcentral.